GACGAACGCUGGCGGCGUGCCUAAUACAUGCAAGUCGAGCGGACGGACGGUAGCUUGCUCCCAGUCCGGCAGCGGCGGACGGGUGAGUAACACGUUGGCAACCUGCCUGUAAGACUGUGAGAACUCCGGGAAAGCGGGGCUAACACCGAAGAACUCUUUCCCUCGCAUGAGGGAAAGCUGAAAGAGGGCAUCGCGCGAUCGCUUACAGAUGUGCCGGCGGCGCAUUAGCUAGUUGGUGAGGUAACGGCUCACCAAGGCGACGAUGCGUAGCCGACCUGAGAGGGUGAUCAGCCACACUGGGACUGAGACACGGCCCAGACUCCUACGGGAGGCAGCAGUAGGGAAUCUUGCGCAAUGGGCGCAAGUCUGACCGAGCAACGCCGCGUGAGUGAUGAAGGUUUUCGGGUCGUAAAACUCUGUUGUCGGGGAAGAAAAAGUACCGGAGUAACUGCCGGUAUUUUGACGGUACCUAAACAAAAAGCACCGGCUAACUACGUG
This 498-nucleotide ribosomal RNA is filed under the name uncultured bacterium. RNAcentral's name for it is "partial 16S ribosomal RNA". It matches the Rfam family "Bacterial small subunit ribosomal RNA", at positions 28 to 507 of the family's 1533-position model. The record is from RNAcentral.